UACGUAGGGUGCAAGCGUUUAAUCGGAAUUACUGGGCGUAAAGCGUGCGCAGGUGGCUCUGCAAGACAGAUGUGAAAUCCCCGGGCUUAACCUGGGAACUGCAUUUGUGACUGCAUGGCUAGAGUGUGGCAGAGGGGGAUGGAAUUCCGCGUGUAGCAGUGAAAUGCGUAGAGAUCAGGAGGAACACCCGUGGCGAAGGCGGCCCUCUGGCUCGACCCUGACGCUGAGGCGCGAAAGCGUGGGGAGCGAACGGG
Molecule: ribosomal RNA, 254 nt
Filed under: uncultured bacterium
Lineage: Bacteria
Description: partial 16S ribosomal RNA
Rfam family: Bacterial small subunit ribosomal RNA
Source: RNAcentral